This 279-nucleotide ribosomal RNA is filed under the name uncultured bacterium. RNAcentral's name for it is "partial 16S ribosomal RNA". It matches the Rfam family "Bacterial small subunit ribosomal RNA", at positions 506 to 784 of the family's 1533-position model. The record is from RNAcentral.
UGCCAGCCGCCGCGGUAAUACGGAGGGGGCAAGCGUUGUUCGGAAUUACUGGGCGUAAAGGGCGUGUAGGCGGUUCGUUAAGUUAGGCGUGAAAGCCCCGGGCUCAACCUGGGAACUGCGCUUGAUACUGGCGGACUUGAGAUCGGGAGAGGGUAGUGGAAUUUCCAGUGUAGAGGUGAAAUUCGUAGAUAUUGGAAAGAACACCAGUGGCGAAGGCGGCUACCUGGCCCGUAUCUGACGCUGAGGUGCGAAAGCCAGGGUAGCGAACGGGAUUAGAUA